Molecule: long non-coding RNA, 2477 nt
Filed under: Oryza brachyantha (malo sina)
Lineage: Eukaryota; Viridiplantae; Streptophyta; Magnoliopsida; Poales; Poaceae
Description: long non-coding RNA (OBRA_LNC000760)
Source: RNAcentral
UUUGUUUCUCACGGCUAAGAACAUACAUUUAGCAUCUUCUGCUUGGUGUUGGAUAGUUCCACCGCUCUUGCAUGCCAUUGGAAUCCCACGACUUCAUGGGAGGCAGUUUUUUUAGCACACGGGUAUAGGUACACCCGUUGCUUGCAUACCAUCUAAAUAGUCAUCAAAACAUAUGAAAAAAAUUGAGAAGAUAGUUUAAUAUGAGUUAUUUCACUCCACCAACAUGCAAGUUUAAAUUUAACUUCUACAAGUUGUAGCAAAAAUAACAAAAAUAAUUAUGAAUAUGUGUAUACUUAGUUUUAGUUUUGUUUGUUUUUUACUACAACUAGUAGAAGUUGAAUUUAAUCUUGCAUGUUUAUGAAGUGAUAUAACUUAUAUUAAUCUAUCUUAUCAAUUUUUUCAUAUUUUUUGAUGACUAUAUAGAUUGUAUGUAAGCACACGGGUAUAUGCUAAAAACUGUUUCCCCGACUUCCUACGUACACCACCAGCACCAGAAACUGAGAACACCAAAGGUAUGAGAUCACUUGUCCGGUGGGUAGGAUUACAAAUAGCCAUAUAUCGAGGUUUGCUAUUGUUUUUGUGUCAUCAGAAGUCUUAAGAAGUUUGAGAGGAAAACACUUUCUAUGGUGAUUCCCGAGUUGGCCCUGCCUGAAACAUUCUUUGUUCCUGGUGCAGAGUCUCGGAGAUGGUCCAAUGGUGAUGUCUCUCUUGCCAUGUGAACGGGGCAUGUGGCUUUUACGAAAAUCUCGACCCCCGACUGAAAAAGGGAUCAGGAGCAGGAGCAGCGCGAGUGCGCGAUAGCCAUCGAGAGAAUGGAUCAAAGCGAGAGAGAGAGAAAAAAAAAAAGGCAGCUUUUGUGGUCUCUCGGCUCGGCCGCUCGGGUGGGCGUUUCUCCCCUCACCGUUUCGUUUCCACGGUUCCACCCCCGGUGGAAAGCGCAAUGACAAAGCAGAGCGGUUGGAUCCACAUCAACCGCGCGUCGCGGUGUCAAUCCUACCAACUUACCAAGGGCGACUCGUGUAGUGGACCCCGAAGUCUUAACGUUGAAACAUGGCAAAACCCCGGGCCCUGUCGUCCUCGUCGGGGAGCUCGAGACUUUUUUGAGCCCACGAGAAAAAGUCGCAGGUUAAAGUGUGGCCCUCGGCCCCUCGCGAGUCGCGAACGCUUGUGGGUUGUGGCAACAACAAUGUGGAUAAGUGCUGUGCUGGUGGCCCCGCUGCUGACGAAGUGACGGUGCAACUUGACGGAUCGUCGUGUUCGGCUGUUCAUUCACAGUUGUGUGCAUGGUCGCGUUGCAGCUGGCUGUAACUAUCCGUGCUCCUCUGCAGUACGUUAUGUAGUACGUCCUCGUGCUCGGCUCGUUCCUAUCCUCGAGAGAUUGGUAGGGUAUGUACAUAAGUCAGCCACAGGCUGUGUUAAAGACGAAAGAUUUUUAGUUUUUAUUAUAUGUGUUUUAUGAUAUGAAUGAUAGAGUUAGCUGUUAUAGAAUUAAAAAUCUUACUUUAGAAAAAUUGAUACGUUGGAUUUAUAUAUAGAAAUAUUUUAUAAAUAAUAAAUUGUUUAUCGGAUUAGAAAACAUGGGGGUAAAACCUGAAACGUAUGAUUAAAAAAACAGGAAAUAACGCGGCCAUAAUACUCGCAAACUGUAGUUUAAUGCAGCUAGUAGUAUUUGUUCACGAUUCAGCAAUCACAAGAGUAAAACCAUACCUGCACACUAGAGCAGCUGGAUUAAUUAUCGGAUUGAUUGGCCAGAUAAGCAGAAGACCGAUGGGCAAGAUAGAAAUAUCAGACAUUCACAAGCAUGUUCAAGUACUGGAAUCCAUCGCAAGAAAACUAAGAUAGCCAGAAACAUGAUUGCUAUGGGCUGAUAUAGGGGGUGGUUGGGAAAGGGCUAAACUUUAGCCCCUUGUCCCAUCGAAUGUUUGAAUAUUUAUUAUAAAUAGUAAACGUAGACUAUUAAUAAAAUACAUUUAUAAUCUUGGACUAAUUCGCGUAACGAAUGUAUUGAGGCUAAUUAAUCCAUAAUUAACCUCAUAAUUAACCUAAGCGAUGAUACAGUAAACAUGCCCUAAUUAUAGAUUAAUUAGGCUUAAAAAAUUCGUCUAGCGGAUUACCACUCAUUUAUAAAAUUAGUUUUUUUAUUAGUCUAUAUUUAACUUUAAAUUAAUAUUCAAACAUUCGAUGUGACAUGUGACUAAAAAAUUUUAUCCCAUCUAAACAACCCCAUAGCUAGCGAGCGCACUCCGGCGCUGCCACCACGGACACGCGGCUCACUGCGUGUAGUAAUGUACAGCUUCUCUAAAAUUCUACGUCGAACAGAGAAGAAGAGAUCGAUGGGCAAAGGCCACACGUACGAAUACGAUGGCAUCAUUAGCUACAACUUACAAGUACCUUGGGAGUUCAAACAACCUCGUCCUUGCCACCGUACAUGACGUUCCACGAAUCCAGCGUCGGGAAGCACGGCUGCUCAGCUGCNN